UACGUAGGUGGCAAGCGUUGUCCGGAUUUAUUGGGUUUAAAGGGUGCGUAGGCGGCCUUGUAAGUCAGUGGUGAAAUACUCUAGCUUAACUAGAGGGGUGCCAAUGAUACUGCAGGGCUUGAGUACAGAUGAGGUAGGCGGAAUUGACGGUGUAGCGGUGAAAUGCAUAGAUAUCGUCAAGAACACCUAUAGCGAAGGCAGCUUACUGGGCUGUAACUGACGCUGAGGCACGAAAGUGUGGGGAUCAAACAGG
Molecule: ribosomal RNA, 253 nt
Filed under: uncultured bacterium
Lineage: Bacteria
Also listed under: 2 other names
Description: partial 16S ribosomal RNA
Rfam family: Bacterial small subunit ribosomal RNA
Source: RNAcentral